Planococcus citri (citrus mealybug) is the source of this 985-nucleotide long non-coding RNA. RefSeq lists it as uncharacterized. The record is from RefSeq and is a predicted model, not a curated record. NCBI's taxonomy places the organism in Eukaryota, Metazoa, Arthropoda, Insecta, Hemiptera, Pseudococcidae. The transcript has 6 exons.
CCUCCAGAUUCACCAAUUUUGUCUGCCACGCUUGGCACUGUGAUAGCGAUACAAUGGAAAAUGUGAAUAAUUAUUUCAAUUUUAUUUCAAAAUGUUUUAAAAUUACAUGAAAUAUUCCACCGAAAUCCGAAACCGAAGCUUUCGUGAGAAAUCUAUAAUGGUGUGAAGGAGGUACAAAAGAUGAAGAUCAAGAACACCGAAAGAAUGAUCGAUUUCUAACCGAACACGUUACUUAAUUCUCCGGCGUACUACAAGUUUCUAUCCUACGAUGAAGCUUAUAUCUUCCAAUAUACAUAUUCAUGAUAUCAGGAUGUGUUUACUCAUCGUAAGAUUGCGGCGUGUUUCAUUCGUCGUUCGAAUCUCGUAGUUUCGUCAGAUUAAUCGUCGAGUAACGUGACAUUUUAUGUAGGAUUCAUCUCUCGCUGGUGAGAGAACUGUAGGAUGAUUAGAGCUAUUGCGAAGAAUAAUAUUUGAAUGUUCCGCGUCGUGAUGGAAGAACGUUGGAUUGUUCUUAUUUUCACUUCACCGAGUCAUCGUGUUCGAAAAUGCUUCCAAAAUGUAAUAGUAGUUUAAAGCCAUAUCUCGGUUUGUGGCUUCUAUAUUCUAGAAACAGGAUGUCAAGACCGGAUUGAUACUUAAAUCGAUUUGUGAGAUGAUUAAAUUUAGAGUUCGGGAUUCGUACCGUAGCUCUCGAUGCAGUAGUUGAUGUAGGCGGAAAACCGAUGAUCCAAAUGUUCGGAGUCUCUUUAUGCUAUUCGUGAACGAUUCACCAAAAAGGCUGAAACAGAAUUGCGCUGAAACUACAAAAGCCCAAGGGAAUGGAAAUGAAAUCAGCGCCGUGAAUUGAAUAUCAUUGGUUUAGAGUUGGACCUCGUAGUAAAGAAAUCUAAUAAGAAUAUUUGUAUGAGCUAUUAAGCUACUUGAUCACCAAAAAUUGAAAAACUGUACUAGAUAUUUAUAAUAAAAUUUUGAAAUCGAAUAUGUA